RNAcentral lists this ribosomal RNA (373 nucleotides) under uncultured organism. RNAcentral's name for it is "bacterial SSU rRNA". It matches the Rfam family "Bacterial small subunit ribosomal RNA", at positions 526 to 896 of the family's 1533-position model. The record is from RNAcentral.
CGUAGGGUGCGAGCGUUAAUCGGAAUUACUGGGCGUAAAGCGUGCGCAGGCGGUUUGUUAAGAUAGGCGUGAAAUCCCCGGGCUCAACCUGGGAACUGCGCUUAUGACUGGCAAGCUAGAGUACGGCAGAGGGGGGUGGAAUUCCACGUGUAGCAGUGAAAUGCGUAGAGAUGUGGAGGAACACCAAUGGCGAAGGCAGCCCCCUGGGUCGAUACUGACGCUCAUGCACGAAAGCGUGGGUAGCAAACAGGAUUAGAUACCCUGGUAGUCCACGCCCUAAAACGAUGUCAACUAGGUGUUGGAUGGGUAAAACCAUUUAGUACCGGAGCUAACGCGUGAAGUUGACCGCCUGGGGAGUACGGCCGCAAGGUUA